This 441-nucleotide long non-coding RNA is filed under the name Gallus gallus (chicken). RNAcentral describes it as "long non-coding RNA NONGGAT005046". Lineage: Eukaryota; Metazoa; Chordata; Aves; Galliformes; Phasianidae. The record is from RNAcentral.
GGGCUCUUCACGCUCUGUGCUCUCUCGUUUAAGGUUCACCAGCAGAGAGAUGCCGUUGGGUCCCUCAGUCUGACUGGGAGUGGAGCAGAGCGGGGAGCAUUAUGUUGGGACGGGGACGCUGCGUGGGGAAGGAGGAGUGGCACUGAGGGUGACAGCGCUGGAAGGACACUCUGGUGCAUGCACCCACACGGAGAGCAAAGGGGCUCCUCUGGUGCUGGAGAGAUAAAGGCAGCAGCAGAAAGAUCCCGAGCCCCUCAUGAUGAGGUUCCGUGCAGCAGUACAGCUUCUGGGGAUGGGGACACGCUGCCACCCCAGAGGGAUUGGCACUGGGAUGUGGUGACCAGCAGCUCUGCUCGCCUGCAGGACCCCAUCUUCCCGGGUUGCGUCGUCGGCAAAGGGAAGGAGGGUCUCCUGCUGGUACGAGACAGCUCCAUGAUCCGC